Molecule: ribosomal RNA, 253 nt
Filed under: uncultured bacterium
Lineage: Bacteria
Description: partial 16S ribosomal RNA
Rfam family: Bacterial small subunit ribosomal RNA
Source: RNAcentral
UACGUAGGGUGCGAGCGUUAAUCGGAAUUACUGGGCGUAAAGCGCACGUAGGCGGCUCUAUAAGUCGGAUGUGAAAUCCCUCGGCUCAACCAAGGAAGUGCAUUCGAAACUGUAGAGCUUGAGUAGUUAAGAGGAUCGCGGAAUUCCCGGUGUAGAGGUGAAAUUCGUAGAUAUCGGGAGGAACACCAGUGGCGAAGGCGGCGAUCUGGGAACAUACUGACGCUGAGGUGCGAAAGCGUGGGGAGCAAACAGG